GACGGAGGAGGCAAGCGUUGUUCGGAAUUACUGGGCGUAAAGCGCGCGUAGGCGGUUGGGUAAGUCGGAUGUGAAAGCCCCGGGCUUAACCUGGGAAUUGCAUUCGAUACUGCCCGGCUAGAGUAUGGGAGAGGGAAGCGGAAUUUCCGGUGUAGCGGUGAAAUGCGUAGAUAUCGGAAGGAACACCAGUGGCGAAGGCGGCUUCCUGGCCCAAUACUGACGCUGAGGUGCGAAAGCGUGGGGAGCGAACAGG
This 253-nucleotide ribosomal RNA is filed under the name uncultured bacterium. Its description in RNAcentral is "partial 16S ribosomal RNA". It matches the Rfam family "Bacterial small subunit ribosomal RNA", at positions 524 to 776 of the family's 1533-position model. The record is from RNAcentral.